UUGUUUUUCUUCAAAGCGCAGAGCUUGACUGAAAAAGAAUUGGUGGCAUAAAUUGAUAUUAAUCUUAAAAUACUGGGAAAGGGGGUAGGAAAUAACUAGAGCAAGCCAGGGGGAAAAUAUAUAUAUAUCUUAGUACAGGAAUUGCAAGCUCCAGCCUUCCACUGGCCCCUACCACCAGCAGUCACCUGCACCAGUAAUUGCUGUACACGACAGAAACUCAAGGAUGGUGUUCAUGGCCCCCAUGUAGAAGAUGAGCCGCAGCUGGGUGACACACAUGGUGAUGAGGCUGAGCAGCAAGAUGGGGCUGAAGACACUCUUCAUGAAGGAGGGAGAAGCUGCAGAAGGAAAAACGGAGUCUGAAGAAGGCAGCAUGGCCUUAUAGACAGCUAAACAGCGCCAGUAAUGAAUCACAAUCCCACAGACUCACCUUGAUUCCUGGGAAGGUCACAGCAGAGGAAGCAUAGGAGCCAAUCAUCAGAGCAAUGAACGUGGAACGAAGGUCACCAAACAUGUUGGGCAGCUGGGGACAGAAAAGUCGGUUGGAACAGGUUGCUGCCCAGGUCACAGAGUCCCCAAAUCCACUCAGGCAUCAUUACAACGUCAGCCCUGGGGGUCUCCAAGGACACUGCAGGUGCCUUCUAGCACUGAAAGCUUAACAGCAUUUUAUCUGUUUUCAAGACAACAAAAUGAUUUGGAGAAUAUUGGAUCAAGUCUGAGCAAGAAAAUGCUCUCAUCUCAUUCUCAUUUCAGUGCUGGAAAACAAAUCCAUCUUUUCCAGGAGCAGCAUAUAAGGCAAGUGAAUCUGGCUUGUGUCACAGCGGGACCAGCAUGUUUACAGCACAAGUAUUCCUGCGCAGGAACACUCGAGGAUCCAUCUGGCUGUUUAUCAUCCCUCUGCCUCACUGCGGAGCUUUCUAUGCAGCACAGCCUCCAGGUCCUCGGAUAACCCCAGCCGGAGAACAGCAGCAGAAGACACUGAGCCCCAAGUGGGCAUGGCAGAGGCAGAAAACGCUGCACUUCACUGCAGCAAGGAUCCCCACACCCAUCCCCACAUCCCCGCAUCCGGGAGCUCUGCCAACAGGCUGCUUUCAGGAGCUGCAGACAGGAAACUGCUAAGGAUCCAAAGGUCUGUUACCAGGCAUAGAAAUCCCUCCCUGGAAGGGUUGGCCUAAAUACACACCCUUAGAAAAGAGCAUCUGCAGGAUGAAAUAUCUGCAGGUUGCAGGGGCUGGCCAUUGUCACCAGGCACGGUGUUUGUAUAAUCUCCAAUGCCCCCAAACCUAAAAUAAUCUCCAGAAAUUACAACAAACAGCUGCUGCUGUUGGAGAGCUGUGAGCAGGGUGAGAGCUGUACAAACACAGCUGCUUCUUGGCUCGGGUUGCUUUUCCCCAGAGUCUCAGAGAUGACAAAAAAGCCUUUUUCAUAAGCAGAUGAGCAGCUCCCAGGUGGAUCCUCCUGCUCUGGGAGGUACAGGAGACCCAGAAUGAGCCCAAAAGCAAACAGCUACUUCUGGGAAACCCAAAUCUGCUUCUGCUUCAGUGGGGACAAGUCUUAGAAAGGCUUGAGACUUUGGAAAAUCCCAUUUGGCAGCAAGUGGUCGGAUUAAAGAAAAUUGGACGGAGGAGAUUCAUUGGGCUGGAUAAGAUCUUAUCAAGUGUAACUGCUAACACUGAACACUCAGGAGGAAAGGAAACCUGAGAGCUGAAGGGACAGAGUGAAAACAGCCUGGGUCUGGACAGAAAAUCCCUCAGCCUGCAGGUGUUAGCACUGGCAGUGCCUGCCUGGGUCCCGGCUGAAGACCAGCUACUAAAAUAACGUGCAGUAUUUACUAAGCCAGAUUUCCAGCAUAGCAGCAAGCACUGGAAAAACAUGAACCCCAGGGAUGAGAAAGAAAACAUACACCAUCCACAGAGCAAGUAGGAUCUUUGCCUUCUGCCACCAGCAGGAUCUGAUCCUCAAUCUGACCUUAUUCCUACAGGCCAGAACUGACUUCUCCACUGACUUCUGCCCACUCUGGUAUAAGUAUCUCAAUUAUGGAGGACCUACCAUGAAGAAACUCUUACAUCUCCUGUUUAAAGGUCAAUAACACUCCAGGUAUAAUUAACUUCAUGCCCUGCCUGAAAGAUACCGACUUGAUUUUGCCACACCGUAAGCUGUUUUUUCCUGGAGCCCUUUACUACAGGUGUGCAAUCCCAAACUGAUAAAAAUCACUUCCUGGUUUCCUCUUGCAGAUGACUUCUCCUCAUUUGCCCUACAGUGAGUUUAAAGACCUCCAAUUAGUUGUAUAAGUUUUCAUCUUUUCCCUAUAUAAAAGAAUACCACAAUAAAAAACAGCCCCACCAAAGCCAGCUCCCCUCCUAUUGCAAGGACAGAAGGAAAAAAAAGAAAGAUCAAGGGACUGAGAACUGGACUUGGAAAUGGUAUUUCCAUUCAAGCUAAGCUUUGUUUUCCCUAUCAGGGGGUACAUUUGGAAAUAAUACAGACAAUAAAAACAUGUUCUCCA
Coturnix japonica (Japanese quail) is the source of this 2503-nucleotide non-coding RNA. Lineage: Eukaryota; Metazoa; Chordata; Aves; Galliformes; Phasianidae. The record is from RefSeq and is a predicted model, not a curated record.